Molecule: ribosomal RNA, 343 nt
Filed under: Dactylotrypes longicollis
Lineage: Eukaryota; Metazoa; Arthropoda; Insecta; Coleoptera; Curculionidae
Description: partial 12S small subunit ribosomal RNA
Source: RNAcentral
AAAAAAGUAUUUUUUAAUUCUAAAUUAGUAUUAGUUAAGUUCUUGAAAAUUAAGAAAGAUGGCGGUAUUUUAGUCUAUUCAGAGGAACCUGUCCUGUAAUUGAUAUUCCACGUUUUUAUUUACUUAUUUUUUUAGUUUGUAUAUCGCUGUAGUUGAAUAUUUUUGUUGGAUUUUAAUAUUCGAGAUUUUUUUAAGAAGAGAUAUCAGGUCAAGAUGUAGCUUAUAAAUAAGAAGAGAUGGGUUACAGUAAAUUUAUUUUUUGAUAUAUUUUGUAAUUAAUAUUGAAAAUGGAUUUGAAAGUAAUUUAUUAAAAAAAUUUUGUAGAUGAUUUUAGCUCUAAAAU